CAAUAGCGUAUAUUAAAGUUGUUGCAGUUAAAAAGCUCGUAGUUGGAUUUCUGGUUGAAGCGACCGGUCGGGCGUUGAUUCGUCUGCACUGGAGUCGGUUUUGGCCAUCCUCUAGGAAAGUGCGUCUGGUAUUAAGUUAUCGGGCGUAUGAUCCUGGUCUUUUACUGUGAAAAAAUUAGAGUGUUUAAAGCAGGCCUUCGCCUUGAAUACAUUAGCAUGGAAUAAUAAGAUAGGACUUUGGUCUAUUUUGUUGGUUUGCAGACCGAAGUAAUGAUUAAUAGGGAUAGUUGGGGGUAUUUAUAUUCCGAUGUCAGAGGUGAAAUUCUUAGAUUUUCGGAGGAUAAACUUAUGCGAAAGCAUUUACCAAGGAUGUUUNCAUUAA
Molecule: ribosomal RNA, 382 nt
Filed under: uncultured eukaryote
Lineage: Eukaryota
Description: partial 18S ribosomal RNA
Rfam family: Eukaryotic small subunit ribosomal RNA
Source: RNAcentral